AAUCCAUAGGUUAAUGAGGCGAACCGGGGGAACUGAAACAUCUAAGUACCCCGAGGAAAAGAAAUCAACCGAGAUUCCCCCAGUAGCGGCGAGCGAACGGGGAGGAGCCCAGAGCCUGAAUCAGCAUGUGUGUUAGUGGAAGCGUCUGGAAAGGCGCGCGAUACAGGGUGACAGCCCCGUACACAAAAGCGCAUGUGCUGUGAGCUCGAUGAGUAGGGCGGGACACGUGGUAUCCUGUCUGAAUAUGGGGGGACCAUCCUCCAAGGCUAAAUACUCCUGACUGACCGAUAGUGAACCAGUACCGUGA
This 307-nucleotide ribosomal RNA is filed under the name Salmonella enterica subsp. enterica serovar Infantis. Its description in RNAcentral is "partial 23S ribosomal RNA". It matches the Rfam family "Bacterial large subunit ribosomal RNA", at positions 161 to 506 of the family's 2925-position model. Lineage: Bacteria; Pseudomonadati; Pseudomonadota; Gammaproteobacteria; Enterobacterales; Enterobacteriaceae. RNAcentral also lists the same sequence under 8 other names. The record is from RNAcentral.